AUCGAACGCUGGCGGCAUGCUUUACACAUGCAAGUCGAACGGCAGCGCGGGCUUCGGCUUGGCGGCGAGUGGCGAACGGGUGAGUAAUACAUCGGAACGUGCUCAGCAGUGGGGGAUAGCUCGGUGAAAGCAGGAUUAAUACCGCAUACGACCUGAGGGUGAAAGCGGGGGAUCUUCGGACCUCGCGCUAUAGGAGCGGGCGAUGGCAGAUUAGCUAGUUGGUGGGGUAAAGGCCUACCAAGGCGACGAUCUGUAGCUGGUCUGAGAGGACGACCAGCCACACUGGGAGGGCUGCGCGGCCCAGACGCCUACGAGAGGCAGCAGCGGGGAAUUUUGGACAAUGGUGGAAAGCCUGAUCCAGCAAUGCCGCGUGUGUGGUGAUGGCCUUCGGGGUGUAAAGCACUUUUUGCGGGAGCGAAAAGGACUGGGCCAAUACCACGGUUCGAUGACGGUACCCGCAUAAUAAGCACCGGCUAACUACGUG
This 484-nucleotide ribosomal RNA is filed under the name uncultured bacterium. RNAcentral describes it as "partial 16S ribosomal RNA". It matches the Rfam family "Bacterial small subunit ribosomal RNA", at positions 29 to 507 of the family's 1533-position model. The record is from RNAcentral.